UAAUCCCACAUCAAUAUUUUAUUUUAGAGUCAGGGUCUAGGUCUGAUUCCCCGAGGUUUUACCCUCCUUUGGGGCUCCUCACGGAGUUAUCUCCAGAAUCCAUUCGAUGAAUAUUCGGAGAUUAAUCGGAAUAGAGUUCUUAAGUUUCAAAUCUGAUAGUUAAUCAUGCAUGAAAGUUUUAGCAUAAUUGUUUGAACGAUUCCGGCAUAAUCCUAUGUGUUCUUAAGGUGCUGAUUUAUAGAUUUGAUCUUGUAAGCAUGCAUGAAUUAAAUUGUUUGAUUCGAUUUUUCCACUGCGUUUUAAAACUUAAAAGAACUACGUAUGGCUUGAUCCCCCUUAUGAAGGGGUACGUAGGCAACCCGAUCAGGUUCAGCCAUGGU
Molecule: long non-coding RNA, 380 nt
Filed under: Phoenix dactylifera (date palm)
Lineage: Eukaryota; Viridiplantae; Streptophyta; Magnoliopsida; Arecales; Arecaceae
Description: long non-coding RNA (PDAC_LNC010618)
Source: RNAcentral